UCAGGAUGAACGCUAGCUACAGGCUUAACACAUGCAAGUCGAGGGCAGCGGGAUUGAAGCUUGCUUCAAUUGCCGGCGACCGGCGCACGGGUGAGUAACGCGUAUCCAACCUUCCGUACACUCAGGGAUAGCCUUUCGAAAGAAAGAUUAAUACCUGAUGGUAUGAUGAGAUCGCAUGGUAUCAUCAUUAAAGAUUUAUCGGUGUACGAUGGGGAUGCGUUCCAUUAGGUAGUAGGCGGGGUAACGGCCCACCUAGCCUACGAUGGAUAGGGGUUCUGAGAGGAAGGUCCCCCACAUUGGAACUGAGACACGGUCCAAACUCCUACGGGAGGCAGCAGUGAGGAAUAUUGGUCAAUGGACGAGAGUCUGAACCAGCCAAGUAGCGUGAAGGAUGAAGGUCCUAUGGGUUGUAAACUGCUUUUAUAAGGGAAUAAAGUGGGAGUCGUGACUCUUUUUGCAUGUACCUUAUGAAUAAGGACCGGCUAAUUCCGUG
This 493-nucleotide ribosomal RNA is filed under the name uncultured bacterium. RNAcentral's name for it is "bacterial SSU rRNA". It matches the Rfam family "Bacterial small subunit ribosomal RNA", at positions 24 to 507 of the family's 1533-position model. The record is from RNAcentral.